RNAcentral lists this ribosomal RNA (491 nucleotides) under uncultured bacterium. RNAcentral's name for it is "partial 16S ribosomal RNA". It matches the Rfam family "Bacterial small subunit ribosomal RNA", at positions 29 to 507 of the family's 1533-position model. The record is from RNAcentral.
AGUGAACGCUGGCGGUAGGCCUAACACAUGCAAGUCGAACGGCAGCACAGUAAGAGCUUGCUCUUACGGGUGGCGAGUGGCGGACGGGUGAGGAAUACAUCGGAAUCUACUUUUUCGUGGGGGAUAACGUAGGGAAACUUACGCUAAUACCGCAUACGACCUACGGGUGAAAGCAGGGGAUCUUCGGACCUUGCGCGAUUGAAUGAGCCGAUGUCGGAUUAGCUAGUUGGCGGGGUAAAGGCCCACCAAGGCGACGAUCCGUAGCUGGUCUGAGAGGUUGAUGACCCACUCUGAACCUGAGCCACGACCCAGCCUCUUAGGGAAGGCACAGGUGGGAAUGUUUGGCAAAGGGGGGGAAGCUUGUACCAGCCAUCCCGGGGGGGUGAAGAAGCCCUCCGGGUGGGAAGCCCUUUUGUUGGGAAAGAAAAGCAGCAGGUUAAUACCCCGCUGUUCUGACGGUACCCAAAGAAUAAGCACCGGCUAACUUCGUG